RNAcentral lists this ribosomal RNA (697 nucleotides) under Salmonella enterica subsp. enterica serovar Reading. RNAcentral's name for it is "partial 23S ribosomal RNA". It matches the Rfam family "Bacterial large subunit ribosomal RNA", at positions 2237 to 2925 of the family's 2925-position model. The record is from RNAcentral. Lineage: Bacteria; Pseudomonadati; Pseudomonadota; Gammaproteobacteria; Enterobacterales; Enterobacteriaceae.
GAUCCGGGUUGCGGACAGUGUCUGGUGGGUAGUUUGACUGGGGCGGUCUCCUCCUAAAGAGUAACGGAGGAGCACGAAGGUUGGCUAAUCCUGGUCGGACAUCAGGAGGUUAGUGCAAUGGCAUAAGCCAGCUUGACUGCGAGCGUGACGGCGCGAGCAGGUGCGAAAGCAGGUCAUAGUGAUCCGGUGGUUCUGAAUGGAAGGGCCAUCGCUCAACGGAUAAAAGGUACUCCGGGGAUAACAGGCUGAUACCGCCCAAGAGUUCAUAUCGACGGCGGUGUUUGGCACCUCGAUGUCGGCUCAUCACAUCCUGGGGCUGAAGUAGGUCCCAAGGGUAUGGCUGUUCGCCAUUUAAAGUGGUACGCGAGCUGGGUUUAGAACGUCGUGAGACAGUUCGGUCCCUAUCUGCCGUGGGCGCUGGAGAACUGAGGGGGGCUGCUCCUAGUACGAGAGGACCGGAGUGGACGCAUCACUGGUGUUCGGGUUGUCAUGCCAAUGGCACUGCCCGGUAGCUAAAUGCGGAAGAGAUAAGUGCUGAAAGCAUCUAAGCACGAAACUUGCCCCGAGAUGAGUUCUCCCUGAGACUUUAGGUCUCCUGAAGGAACGUUGAAGACGACGACGUUGAUAGGCCGGGUGUGUAAGCGCAGCGAUGCGUUGAGCUAACCGGUACUAAUGAACCGUGAGGCUUAACCUUACA